Coturnix japonica (Japanese quail) is the source of this 1436-nucleotide long non-coding RNA. NCBI's taxonomy places the organism in Eukaryota, Metazoa, Chordata, Aves, Galliformes, Phasianidae. The record is from Ensembl.
AAGCAGCCCCCAUAGACCCUCAUAGGGCAAGCCCCAUCACCCCUUGCCCCAUAAGCUCAGCCCUAUGCCUACCCUGAUCCCCAUCAGAGCCCCAUAGCUCUACCCAUAGCCCCAUAUCCUGCCCCAUAUCUCUGCCCCAUAGCCCUAUACCUGCCCCAUAGCCCCCCUAUAGGGCAGCCCCAUAGCCCCCAUAGAGCCCUAUAAAGCAGCCCCAUAGAGCCCUAUAGGGCAGCCCCAUACCCUGCCCCAUAGCUCAGCCCUAUAGCCCCAUACCCUGCCCCAUAGAGCCCCAUAGCCCUGCCCCAUAGCCCCCCUAUAGGGCAGCCCCAUAGCCCCCAUAGAGCCCUAUAGAGCAGCCCCAUAGAGCCCUAUAGGGCAGCCCCAUACCCAGCCCCACAUCGCUGUGCCCCGUGGCCACGCCCCCUAUUCAUAAGCCCCGCCCCCUCCUUAUUUAUAACCCCACCCCUUAUUCAUAAUCCCAGCCCUCUCAUUGGUUCAGCCCAUUUAAAGCCCCGCCCCUUAUUCAUAAGCCCCGCCCCCGUCCAUUCAUAAGCCCCGCCCCUAUUCAUAAGCCACGCCCCCAUUCAUAAGCUCCGCCCUUUAUUCAUAAUCCCAGCCCUCUCAUUGGUUCAGCCCAUUUAAAGCCCCGCCCCUUAUUUAUAAGCCCCGCCCCCUUUCGAGCCCCCGCCCCAUUCAUAAUCCCAGCCCAUCUAUAAGCCCCGCCCCUUUAUUUAUAAGCCCCGCCCCAUUCACAAUCCCAGCCCUCUCAUUGGCCCAGCCCAUUUCUAAAGCCCCGCCCACUAUUUCUAAGCCCCUCCCCCUUCUAUUGUCUGUCUCGUGCCGUGAUUGUGACGUAACGCGCGUUGAGGGGGCGGGGCGUGGGGAGCGGCAGCCAAUAAACGGAGAGAACCCGUCGUGACCCCGCCCCCCCUCGAUUCGUGACGUCAUUUAAGCGCGCGGCGCCGUCUGAUGACGUCAGUGUCAUGGCGGACUACCUGGGUUUGACGGACGCGGAGCUGCUGAGGAAGCUGCGGAGGGGGAGAGAGGGCCCCACGCGCAACCUGUACCACCUGAAGGUCGUGGAGUACGAGAGACAACGGCGCUGCCGGGGGGGGACAGGUGGGUGCCCCAUAACUGCCCCAUAACCACCCCAUAGCUGCCCCAUAGAUACCCCAUAGCUGCCCCAUAGCUGCCCCAUAGNNNNNNNNNNNNNNNNNNNNNNNNNAUACCGCCAUAGCUGCCCGCAUAGCUGCCUUAUAGAUACCUAUAGCUCGCCCAUAACCACCCAUCAGCCUGCCCAUAAGAAAUACCACCAUGCUGCAAACCCAUUAACUAGCCCCCAUAGAUCACCCAUAGCUGCCCCAUAACCACCCAUAGCUGCCCAUAGAUCCCCAUAGCUUGCCCCCAUAGGAUAACCCAUAGCUGCCCGCAUUAGA